Long non-coding RNA from Neofelis nebulosa (Clouded leopard), 1146 nucleotides. RefSeq lists it as uncharacterized. The record is from RefSeq and is a predicted model, not a curated record. NCBI's taxonomy places the organism in Eukaryota, Metazoa, Chordata, Mammalia, Carnivora, Felidae. The transcript has 3 exons.
GAAAGAUAAAUUUUGGUAUGAUUCCACUUACGUGAGGUACCUAGGGUAGUCAAACUGAUAGAAACAGAAAGUAGAAUGGUAGCUGCCAGGGGCUGGGGGAGGGGAAGUGGGAAGUUAAUGGGUACAGAGUUUCGGUUUUGUAAGACGAAAACGUUCUAGAGAUCUGUUGCACAACACUGAUAAAUUGAUUGUACAUCAAGGCAUCAAGAGCCAUAUUGGAGAAUGAUGUUCCUCAAAUCAGGGCUUUCGUAGCCUCCGGCAACAGCCGUCCGAUUCCAGUCUUUGAAACUGUCCAACACCUGGUAUAUUGCACCCUGCGGUUCAUUCUCCUCUCCUACUUCCUUCCAGUUCACCACCAGUGACGAUUUGCCCAAUUGCGCCACACCUGCAUGCCAGAGGUCACCGGUACUCUGCAAACCACCAAUGACAGCGUCUUCAUGGUCAGGCAACCGGCAGGUGAUCCAGCUUUGAAAUCCCAUUUUACUUUGUUUCCUAAAGCCACUUUCAGUAUCGACGGACAUAGGUUACGUUCCUCUGUGAAGUUGGCAUGCAAGAAGCUUUGGGAGGGGGUGUGAUGGGGAUGCUCUCAGGAACGAUACCUGUAAACGAGUGAGAGAAGCAGCAUCGCACAGAGGGAGAAGCCGAAUAGCGACCAAGUAGCUCUGAAGCUCCCAAUAGAACCGCAGGGAAUUCUGAGGUGGAUUUUCAGGGUUGUCUGAUCGAAGCAAGGGGGCUAGGCAUUUAUUCUCCCUCCUGGACCGGUCAUUCACGCAAGAUGCCUUCAGGGAGGGCACUUGAUCCUGGGUGAGGCACGCCUCUUUGGCUGAGCUGGGGCAGUGAGGGCCUUGGCUAAGGACUGCAGGAUCUGCGGAAACACCACAGCAUCCUCUACGGAGACUCUUUCUCAUACGGGUAUGCAGGUAUCCCACGCACAUGUUGCGUAUUAGAUAUUGUGAAUAUCUUUUUUUCAGCCUGUCAUCCGUCUGUUAGCUCUCAGUGUCAUUUCUUGAGCAGACUCUCUUAAUUAUGAUGUGACCAAAUUAAUAGAUUUCCCUCCUUACUGAUUUGUUCUCAUUCCUUAGGUCGUGAAGAUAUCCUCCUACAUUAUGUUUUUUCAAAAAAUAUAUUUUUACUUUCAAAAUUGGA